AACGAACUCUGGCGGCAUGCCUAACACAUGCAAGUCGAACGAGACCUUCGGGUCUAGUGUCGCACGGUUGCGUUACGCUUGGGAACCUGCCCUUAGGUUCGGAAUAACUCCCCGAAAGGGGUGCUAAUACCGGAUAAUGUCUUCGGACCAAAGAUUUAUCGCCUUUGGAUGGGCCCGCGUUGGAUUAGCUAGUUGGUAGGGUAAAAGCCUACCAAGGCGACGAUCCAUAGCUGGUCUGAGAGGAUGUUCAGCCACACUGGGACUGAGACACGGCCCAGACUCUUACGGGAGGCAGCAGUGGGGAAUAUUGGACAAUGGGCGAAAGCCUGAGCCAGCAAUGCGGCGUGAGUGAUGAAGGCCUUAGGGUUGUAAAGCUCUAUUACCCGGGAUGAUAAUGACAGUACCGGGAGAAUAAGCCCCGGCUAACUCCGUG
RNAcentral lists this ribosomal RNA (433 nucleotides) under uncultured bacterium. RNAcentral's name for it is "partial 16S ribosomal RNA". It matches the Rfam family "Bacterial small subunit ribosomal RNA", at positions 29 to 507 of the family's 1533-position model. The record is from RNAcentral.